GCGGAGGAAAAGAAACCAACUGGGAUUGCCUUAGUAACGGCGAGUGAAGCGGCAACAGCUCAAAUUUGAAAUCUGGCAUCAGCCCGAGUUGUAAUUUGUAGAGGAUGUUUCGGGCAAGGCUUCGGUUUAAAUUUCUUGGAACAGAAUGUCAUAGAGGGUGAGAGUCCCGUCUAAAACCAUCUGCCGCGUCCAUGUGAAACUCCUUCGACGAGUCGAGUUGUUUGGGAAUGCAGCUCAAAAUGGGAGGUAAAUUUCUUCUAAAGCUAAAUAUUGGCCAGAGACCGAUAGCGCACAAGUAGAGUGAUCGAAAGAUGAAAAGCACUUUGAAAAGAGAGUUAAACAGUAUGUGAAAUUGUUGAAAGGGAAGCAUUUGCAACCAGACUUGAGUUUAACGGUUCAACCACCAUUUUUGGUGGUCCAUUCCGUUAUAUCCAGGCCAGCAUCGGUUCAGGUGGUUAGUUAAAGGCCUUGGGAAUGUAUCAACGCUUCGGGGUUGACUUAUAGCCCUUGGUGUAAUGUGACCUAUCUGGACCGAGGUACGCGCUUCGGCUCGGAUGCUGGCGUAAUGGUUGUAAAUGACCCGUCUUGAAACACGGACCAAGGAGUCUAACAUCUAUGCGAGUGUUCGGGUGUCAAACCCCUACGCGUAAUGAAAGUGAACGGAGGUAGGAACCGCAAGGUGCACUAUCGACCGAUCCUGAUGUCUUCGGAUGGAUUUGAGUAAGAGCAUAGCUGUUGGGACCCGAAAGAUGGUGAACUAUGCCUGAAUAGGGUGAAGCCAGAGGAAACUCUGGUGGAGGCUCGCAGCGGUUCUGACGUGCAAAUCGAUCGUCAAAUUUGGGUAUAGGGGCGAAAGUACUUUAGUUAAGAAAUAUCCUUCUUUCGCUAUAAUAGCUGUCAACGGAUAGCUAAUUAGUCAGUAAAAUGGCAAGGCUUUCGAUCUGCGGGGAUACCAAUCAAAGGUUGCCCGCACCCGUGUCUUAACGGGUCACAGAUUAAGUUAAAGCCGGUAGACCUCUCCUUUGUUAAAGGGUUUACUUGAGAUAUAAUCGGCCACUGGGGUUGCCCCCGGUUGAACAGUGGACUAAUCGAACCAUCUGGUAGCUGGUUCCUGCCGAAGUUUCCCUCAGGAUAGCAGUAACGUUUUCAGUUUUAUGAGGUAAAGCGAAUGAUUAGAGGCCUUGGGGUUGAAACAACCUUAACCUAUUCUCAAACUUUAAAUAUGUAAGAAGUCCUUGUUACUUAGUUGAACGUGGACAUUUGAAUGUAUCGUUACUAGUGGGCCAUUUUUGGUAAGCAGAACUGGCGAUGCGGGAUGAACCGAACGUGAGGUUAAGGUGCCGGAAUACACGCUCAUCAGACACCACAAAAGGUGUCAAUGCAUCUAGACAGUCCGACGGUGGCCAUGGAAGUCGGAAUCCGCUAAGGAGUGUGUAACAACUCACGGGCCGAAUGCAUUGGCCCUGAAAAUGGAUGGCGCUCAAGCGUGUUACCUAUACCUCGCCGUUAAAGUUUUAAUGAUGCUUUAACGAGUAGGCAGGCGUGGAGAUUUGUGACGAAGCCUUUGGGGUGACCCUGGGUC
Molecule: ribosomal RNA, 1582 nt
Filed under: Chaetothyriales sp. A1022
Lineage: Eukaryota; Fungi; Ascomycota; Eurotiomycetes; Chaetothyriales
Description: LSU rRNA
Rfam family: Eukaryotic large subunit ribosomal RNA
Source: RNAcentral